Molecule: ribosomal RNA, 245 nt
Filed under: uncultured bacterium
Lineage: Bacteria
Description: partial small subunit ribosomal RNA
Rfam family: Bacterial small subunit ribosomal RNA
Source: RNAcentral
AGAAUCAACGCUGGCGGCGUGCCUAACACAUGCAAGUCGAACGAGAAAGUGGAGCAAUCCAUGAGUAAAGUGGCGCACGGGUGAGUAACACGUGACUAACCUACCCUUGAGUGGGGGAUAACCUAGGGAAACCUGGGCUAAUACCGCAUAAUACCUUCGGGUCAAAGGAGCAAUUCGCUUAAGGAGGGGGUCGCGGCCGAUUAGUUAGUUGGCGAGGUAAUGGCCCACCAAGACUGUGAUCGGUA